GUAGCUUCGCUCGCCUCCUGCAGUUGGCGAGCAGAGGAACACCUCCACCUACUACAGAGCAGCAUCACAAGACCACCCCAAAAGAAACAAAGAACAUAUUAAGUGAUGGGAUUUCAGGCUCACCAUGAUAAUAGUGCCACUUGGGUCUAUAGGCAUGAGCAUUUCCUUGCUUCAGAUCGCCUGCAUUAGCAUGGUAAAAUAAUAACAUGCCAGUUAGAAUGAGACACUACCGAGUUGUAAUAUAGCCAUGAUGAGAUCCAGUCUUAGUAAACGAUGGUCCAGGUGUAGUUUUUGGUUCUCAGUAAAGAAAAAUUAUCAGCAAAAGAAACCUAUUUUUGAUGAUCUGCAAAGUCUAAACUGAACCAACUUGGAAUUCUGGAUGCGGGGGUGCAAUGCAACUGAAGAAUAGCAGCACAAUAAAAUCCAUUACAAUGUAGAGAUCCAUAAAAUCUUUUUAUUCUUUCUAGAAAAUAUAGAAUUAUCCAACAUGUGGAACAGCUGAAUUUUUAAACUUAAACUGAGAUCAAAAGUAAAGGUUCAGUCUUUUCAGUUUCUGUACUAAUUCAGUUUGUGCACUAAAAUUCAUUUUCUGCACUAAAACAGAGUACAUCUAAAGAUUCAGUUUCUGAACUAUAGAAAGUUUGUGAAACAGCUGAAUUUUUAAACUUAAACAGAGAUCAAAAGUAAAGGUUCAAUCUUUUCAGUUAAACAGAGAUCAAAUAUACAAUCCUUUCAGUUCAAUAGAGAUCAAAUGUUCAGUUUUGGCUAACAUACUGAUCACAUGUUCUCAAUUAUUGCCCUAAGGCAGAUUCAUAUGAGUUCUUCUACAUGAACAGAGCACAUGUUCAGAUCAACACAAACAGGAACAAAACCCUAGGCAUGCUUCAAAAAUAAGCCUCGAUACCAUAAUUUCACAUCAUUCCAUUGUCAUAUACAUGAACGCCACAACAGAGCUGACGCAAUCAACCUUGAUCAUAGAUGGGAAACUGAUUAAAGCAUUGCGCUAAUACAAACACCUACAUUUCUGUGAUCAUGAAAGCUUACCUUGAUGCUUGAUAGAUUCAAAAACUUGUCUGUUAUAAUGUACUGUAGUUGUAUACCAAACUUCUGUUGUUAUUCUGUUCACUCUAGUUAAUAACCCAGACCUGAAUUCUAUACUCUCUCACCCAAUAUCAGUACCAAAGCUCUCUCUCUCUCUCAUUUUCUAGUCAGUACAGAUGCAAACCAACAUUAGUACAAAAGCACUACAUCUCUCUUCUGUUCUUGCUCACAUCUUAUUUUCUCGGGGGUUGGGCUUCGCUGCUGUGUCAACUCUCCUUGUCGUUGGAUUGGAUCUCGAUUCAACAACUGCCCAUAUGCAUAUUACUCUUCCCUUCUGUCCACAAAAUAGAGAACGUCACAUACAUCAAACAAUUAUUCUGCAAUGCUGAACAAUGCCCAAGCACAUGCUCUAGGGCUAAAUUUCCAAGUAACACAUACAUGACAGCAAAAUUCAAGAAAAUUGAACUGUACCUAGCAACAGAACCGUGGGGCAAAUUAACAGCAAUCCCUCAGUGACUCGUGCAGUAAACUGAACAUCAAAGGAUUGUGAAAGCAACCUUUGAAGCUGAUUUAAAAAUCAAAGCCAUAUUGACUCGUACAGUAAACUGAACAUCUAAAAGGGGAUGAUGCUGCUUGGACAUAACACAAGCACACCUCAUGAGAGAGAUAUGUCAGUUCUAGUUAUUGCUUUUUCCCAUACACGAAAAGAAAUAUUGCAUCUACAUAUGAAAGAUAAGAUCAACUGCUUUCAGCACAUGGAUCAAAUCAACAACAAGCUAUAACAAACUUCAACAUAGGCCAGCAGUGAAACAAUAGGGGAUUUUUUUACCAAAAACAAUAACAUCAAGCUGCUACUUGCCCCAUGGCUUGUAGAAUUAAUUAGGAACUUGAUUCAUACCUACUGCAGGCGAACAAGAAGCAGUGCACGGGCAUGGAGGUGGCAGAGCUUCUCCUUCCUCUUUUCCUCCUGCUCCAUUCUUUUUCCACAUCCGAGGAACAACAUCCACGUACCAAGAAAUGACCCUGGCAUGAAACCCUAGCCACCACAGUGUGCAGCCGAGAAAGCCAAGAAAACGACCCUGGUUAAUUGUCCAACAGAAAAAAUCAAGGAAUGAUGGAGAGGGGAAUUUGGUAGUGCAAGAGAGGGCGAUUUUAUACCUACUCUGUUGACCCCGACUGCCGAAGAACACCGCCAUGGUGGCAUCGAGCAACCACGCGUCGCAGGACCAGAGG
RNAcentral lists this long non-coding RNA (2274 nucleotides) under Triticum aestivum (bread wheat). RNAcentral describes it as "long non-coding RNA (TAES_LNC021437)". The record is from RNAcentral. Lineage: Eukaryota; Viridiplantae; Streptophyta; Magnoliopsida; Poales; Poaceae.